Molecule: ribosomal RNA, 253 nt
Filed under: uncultured bacterium
Lineage: Bacteria
Description: partial 16S ribosomal RNA
Rfam family: Bacterial small subunit ribosomal RNA
Source: RNAcentral
UACGUAGGGGACGAGCGUUGUCCGGAUUCAUUGGGCGUAAAGCGCGCGUAGGCGGUUCGGUAAGUCGGGUGUGAAAACACGAGGCUCAACCUCGUGCGUGCAUCCGAUACUGCCGGACUAGAGGUAGGUAGGGGAGAUCGGAAUUCCUGGUGUAGCGGUGAAAUGCGCAGAUAUCAGGAGGAACACCGGUGGCGAAGGCGGAUCUCUGGGCCUUACCUGACGCUCAGGCGCGAAAGCUAGGGGAGCGAACAGG